Molecule: long non-coding RNA, 392 nt
Organism: Puntigrus tetrazona (Sumatra barb)
Lineage: Eukaryota; Metazoa; Chordata; Actinopteri; Cypriniformes; Cyprinidae
Exons: 3
Source: RefSeq, a predicted model, not a curated record
CCUCCCCUGACCCCUUCAUCUGACCAAUCAGAAGAGCGUCCAGCAGGUCUCGCGGCUCUCCGGGCGUCAGGGUCAUCUGUGAGGUCAAAGGUCAUGAAGACAGCACGAACAAGUCUAGCAACCGCAGCGAAAUAAUUACUUCUUCAGGUCCUUGUUGGGGAAAACCUGAUGGGAACAAAGGUCUGAUUAAUCCAGGAAACACGCAUGACGUAGCAAUGAGUGUGACACGUGACCCCGGAGCCAAAAACCAUCGGGAUGUUAGCUUUGAGAGGUUUUGCGCUCCAGGGUCAGGAGGAGGUGAGAGCGCAGGCCGACCCGGAGCCAGGGGAAGAUGUCGACGAGUCCUCCUCGGGCGAUGGUCUGGACGAUGCCGUCGUUGUAGUCCAUGACGG